UACAGAGGUCCCGAGCGUUGUUCGGAUUCACUGGGCGUAAAGGGUGCGUAGGUGGUGAGGUAAGUCGGAUGUGAAAUCUCCGAGCUCAACUCGGAAAUGGCAUUGGAAACUACCUUGCUUGAGGGUUGGAGGGGGGACUGGAAUACUUGGUGUAGCAGUGAAAUGCGUAGAUAUCAAGUGGAACACCAGUGGCGAAGGCGAGUCCCUGGACAACUCCUGACACUGAGGCACGAAAAGCUAGGGGGAGCAAACAG
Molecule: ribosomal RNA, 254 nt
Filed under: uncultured bacterium
Lineage: Bacteria
Description: partial 16S ribosomal RNA
Rfam family: Bacterial small subunit ribosomal RNA
Source: RNAcentral